RNAcentral lists this ribosomal RNA (253 nucleotides) under uncultured bacterium. Its description in RNAcentral is "partial 16S ribosomal RNA". It matches the Rfam family "Bacterial small subunit ribosomal RNA", at positions 524 to 776 of the family's 1533-position model. The record is from RNAcentral.
UACGUAGGUGGCAAGCGUUGCCCGGAAUCACUGGGCGUAAAGGGCGUGUAGGCGGUCCGCCAAGUCUGAUGUGAAAGCCCGGGGCUCACCCCCGGAAGGGCAUUGGAAACUGGCGGACUCGAGUCCCGGAGAGGAGAGUGGAAUUCCUGGUGUAGCGGUGAAAUGCGUAGAUAUCAGGAGGAACACCGGUGGCGAAGGCGGCUCUCUGGACGGUGACUGACGCUGAGACGCGAAAGCGUGGGGAGCAAACAGG